This is a non-coding RNA of Oryzias latipes (Japanese medaka), 2363 nucleotides long. NCBI's taxonomy places the organism in Eukaryota, Metazoa, Chordata, Actinopteri, Beloniformes, Adrianichthyidae. The record is from RefSeq and is a predicted model, not a curated record.
UGUCUCUAGAUUAAAACGGUACUGAGUGUUGAAAGAACAACAGGACUUUUCUUUAACUCUGGAUUGUUUUAACAUGGAAGUCAUUGGGAAGUUGUUCCUGUCUGAAGCCAGCCCCCUGUGGUCAUUUGAAGAACUGCAACAGGAUUCACUGAGCAUGUGACACAAAGGUGGAAGUUUCUUCUUCUUGUGAUGGUUCAAACCUGGAAAAGAGUUUAGUUUGUCUGAUCAGGAAACUGAAAAUGAGGACGUCAGCGGAGCAGAAAGAGGAGGAACACCGUCAACAAUCAUGUUGGAGCUCCAACAGGCAUUUUCCUGACUCAGCAAAAACAUCUGUUUGUUUUUCUUUGUUCUGUCCAGCAGCUGAACAAAUGGAAGAAGGUUGGAGGUUCAGUGGACCAAGAGCUGGAUCAUCUAAAGGAAAACGGGCUCCACACACAACAUCUAUCAGUGUGUCGUCAACAAGAAGCUGAUUCCUAGAGAAAAGUGAGAGUUUCAGCUCUAAGGGGUCUGAAGUCCAUCUGAGAAGAUCACUAACUCAUCAGUCCUGCUGUCCCUGAAGACCGGCUUCAUGUUCAGAACCAGCUUCAGGUUCUGGGCUGGGAUUGGAUGUGUUGUGGUGGCAGUAAAGCAGGUUCAGACCCGGAUCAGAGCAGAAUGUAGAAAGUGUCAAAGUGUCAGUCAGACUCCCAGACAGAAUGUUCCAGAUCAGCAUUUAUUGGUUAUUUCUUGAUGUUCUUCAUCUUUGGAGAAAAGCAGAGCUAGAAAAUCAAACAAAGUUCCAUCUAUCUGGUAAAAACUUGGAUUCAUUCAGUCUUUCCCGUAUGGACAGAUUUCUUUGACGUCUUUUCUUUUCAUGUAAAUUCAGUCAAACAUGUUGAUCCUUCAGGAUGUGGAUGAGUUGAUAUGAAACAGUGUUUUCUGCAGCAGGAACAUGUGAGAGGAAACCUGCUGUUCCUCAGCUGAUCUUCAUCAUUCCAUCUCAGCAGCAGAUGAGGAGGAUGUGCUGCUGGAAAAUCUGCCUCACAGACUCAGUUUGCAGCUUCUGCUUUCAGGUUUGACUUCUAGUUUCUGGAGAAACAGGAAAAAGAAACAGGAAAUCUCCACACCACUCUAGAACCAUCUAGAACAGUAUUAUGGGAUGUUUCUCAGCUGAAUCACUGGGAUUCAUCUUCAUGUGAACAUCAAAGUGAUCGUGUCAGAUGAAAUCUUUCCUGUUUGAAGGAGUUUCCUUCAUGUCAAAAAAGGAUCCCAGAUCUCCCAUCAGGCCUUGCAGCUCCUGACUUUGUGAUGAGUUCCUGCAGAAACUCUUGGAAAUCUCAUGUUGAUUCUCUCCCAGUUGACAUCCAUGGAGAUUUUCACUGCUGUUGUUCAACUGUAGAGUUUGUCACAGACGCUCAAACUCAUGAAGAGUUCAGCUGGAAGUUGAGAACGAGGCUUUGAAACCAGCAGCAGUUUGAGUCCAUUCUGAUGUUCCAUUCAGGUUUCUGCUACAACAAGCCUUUAUUUUGAAAGAGCCAGUGGGGCAGAAACAAUAGAAGGAGGAGAUUACCAACCCCCCCUGGAAUGUUGCCCCCUGUGCAGUGGACUAGUGGGGGCAGGGACGGCUGAACCAAUCACAGAAGACUGUUGCAGCUUUCCCUCCAAAAGUCAACCAAUCAGAUGUUGUUGUUUGGAUACUUUGUCUUGAAGUUUCACAUGUGGAAGCUUCCAGAGUCUUUUCUGUUUGCUCUGCAGGCUGAGCAGAACUGACUCCUGCAGGAUCACAGGAACUUUCAGGAAAAUCUCCAAACAGGAGAAAAGUUUCUGUUUGGACCUUUUUUCUGUGAUUGUGAGACUAGCAGAUGAUCGAUCGGAGCUGCAGUGAAGAGGACGGCGGUGUUUGUGGGAGUUGGAGCUGAAGAUCGGAGCAGGAACCAUGUCUUCAGAACCUCAGGAAGGUUCUGUCAGAGAACAACUUUCUGCUGCUGAAGGAACCAUCGUCCAGAACGAGGAGGAGCUCUGUCGUCAGCGCAGACUGCUGGAUAGCAGCUGGAACCCGCAGCUGCAGCUCCACAUAGUUGUCCUCCUUCAGCGUUAUGCGAGUGAAGAUGAUCUGUGCAACCAACAGAGGAAUCUAAGAAUGGAACAGGAGGAAUCAGAGCCUCUGCAUAUUAAAGAGGAACAUGGAGAACCAGAACCUCCACAGUUUAAAGAGGAACAUGGAGAACCAGAACCUCCACAGUUUAAAGAGGAACAUGGAGAACCAGAACCUCCACAGUUUAAAGAGGAACAUGGAGAACCAGAACCUCAACACAUUAAAAAGGAACAGGAGGAAUCAGAGCUUCCACAGAUUAAAGAGGAGCAAGAGAAACAAGAACCCAAAA